GGCCUUAUAUUCAACAAUGAUUUUAAAUUGCAAGUUUAAAGGAGGAGAGAUCCUAAGGCUU
Molecule: transfer RNA, 61 nt
Filed under: Ochthebius lejolisii
Lineage: Eukaryota; Metazoa; Arthropoda; Insecta; Coleoptera; Hydraenidae
Description: tRNA-Cys
Source: RNAcentral